This 500-nucleotide ribosomal RNA is filed under the name uncultured bacterium. RNAcentral describes it as "bacterial SSU rRNA". It matches the Rfam family "Bacterial small subunit ribosomal RNA", at positions 19 to 518 of the family's 1533-position model. The record is from RNAcentral.
CUGGCUCAGGAUGAACGCUAGCUACAGGCUAACACAUGCAAGUCGAGGGGUAGCAAGGUAGCAAUACCGCUGACGACCGGCGCACGGGUGAGUAACACGUAUCCAACCUUCCCAUAACUCAGGGAUAGCCUUUCGAAAGAAAGAUUAAUACCUGAUAGUACUUUUUCAAGGCAUCUUGAAAAAGUUAAAGAUUUAUGGUUAUGGAUGGGAUGCGUUCCAUUAGAUAGUUGGUGAGGUAACGGCUCACCAAGUCUUCGAUGGAUAGGGGUUCUGAGAGGAAGGUCCCCCACAUUGGUACUGAGACACGGACCAAACUCCUACGGGAGGCAGCAGUGAGGAAUAUUGGUCAAUGGGCGAGAGCCUGAACCAGCCAAGUAGCGUGAAGGAAUGAAGGUCCUAUGGAUUGUAAACUUCUUUUAUAGUAGAAUAAAGUGAGCCACGUGUGGUUUUUUGUAUGUAUACUAUGAAUAAGGAUCGGCUAACUCCGUGCCAGCCGCUGC